UGUCUUUUGGUAACGGAACACUGCAUCUCAUCGGCGAACGAAAGGCUGCCUCUGGCACGUUCAGUGUCCCCCUUGUAAUUUGUAGAAGGGACCUCUGGGUCUGGCUCUGGGCUAUGCUGCUGGAAACAGAACGCCUCAAAGGGGGCGACUCCCUUGCGAUGAGAUGUCCCAGACCUUUGUGAAGUUCCCUCGAAGAGUCGAGUUGUUUGGGAAUGCAGCUCUAAUUGGGUGGUAAAUUCCAUCUAAAGCUAAAUAUUGGCGAGAGACCGAUAGCGAACAAGUACCGUGAGGGAAAGAUGAAAAGAACUUUGAAAAGAGAGUGAACAAUUCCUUGAAUUUGUUAAAGGGAAACGACUGGAGACCAAACUUGGUGUUUUGUAUGUUACCCUCUCGGGGGUGGCCUCUUCCGUGUACCGGCCCGCCAUCAUCUUGAUCGGUAGGAUAAUUGCGGCUAGAUGUGUGUCUGCCCCUCUAGUGUGUUAUAGUCUCUGGCUAAACAGCCCUCUUAGACCGAAGACUGCCGCCUCGCCCUAGGAUGUUGACUCCAGGCUCUUCACGCUCCCGACUUGAAGAAAUGCCACUAAACGACCCGUCUUGAAACACGGACCACAGUGUCUCUU
RNAcentral lists this ribosomal RNA (620 nucleotides) under Lodderomyces parapsilosis. RNAcentral describes it as "Candida parapsilosis partial large subunit ribosomal RNA". It matches the Rfam family "Eukaryotic large subunit ribosomal RNA", at positions 126 to 679 of the family's 3401-position model. The record is from RNAcentral. Lineage: Eukaryota; Fungi; Ascomycota; Pichiomycetes; Serinales; Debaryomycetaceae.